CCGACUGUCGCCACACAGGGCGAGCCCGCGGCCGCCGCCAUCUUGGGCUCACAACGAGGCUGAGGGGCCCAGGUGCUGCCCUGUGCGGGAGCAGGUGGUUCUCCCUCCGUGCAAGGGGAAGGCUGGCCCUUGCUGGAGUCAGACACUUCUGGUUGUGUUCAUUUGAGUUGUACAAGACUCCUGACCCCCACGUCUCCUGAAAGCAUCAAUCGAGCUCUCAGAAUCGGAUCUUUUAAAAAAAAAUGGUGACAUUUAAAAAGAAUUAAUACCUUUGAAAUGCUUUUUAUUAUUUUGUUUCUGAAGUGUAAAGAGCACAUGAUUGAGCUUUUCUCCACCACCAGGAAGAUUAGAAAUGUACUUUAAAAAAAAUGAAAGAAAACAGAUUUUCCCAUUAUUUCUUUCAGAGCUAGGAUCUCAAGCAAAACAGCAAAUAUCACAAGAUCUAACAGCAUUGCCAUGGUGGUUGGGAGUUUGAUUUUUUUUUUUUUUUUUUAUAGUGUAUAGGGGGAGUGCAGUAGUUCGGGCAGCUGCUAAGAGUUGCAGAAAUGAGUUGCUUAUGUAGAGGCUGGCUUUAAGAAACAAGUUGUUAGGAGGGAUUUGAUUUGAAGAAGAGGAAUGACAGAUAAAUGGAGACAUUUUGGAAAAGAGAUGCUCUGGAAAUUAGUAGUUCUGGGUUCUGUUCUUGUCUUUAAUCUCAUAGCUUUUUAACAUUAACUAAUCCUUCUUCACCACACCCUAUACUUACUGUAAUAGGUAAAUAUAAUUUCCAUUUUAUAGAUGGAGACUGAGGCACAGUGAGAAUAAGACACAGAUCCUCAAAGGUAUUGAGAAGCCUAAAUACCUUUGAGGAUCUGGGCCUAAGUACAUAACCUAGGUCACACACAAAACUACCAGCAGACAACCAUACCCAGAAACAGAAUCCAGGAUUCUUAACUCCUCAUCCUACCCCUAGAUAACACUACCUUCCUAAAUUACUUAAAUGCCUUAUUUAGGAACUGCUGAAGGCUCUGCAUAGUCACUAUCAAACAUAUGAGAGCUGAUAUGCAAGGUAGUGGCAGAACCUUAAGUUUACUUGUCAGGGCAGGGACUUCUAUGGCCCUGAUCCUAGAACCACAUAUGCACACAUGUAACUUCCCACAUGUGAGCAGUCCUGUUAGUUGUGUACAAAUAAUAUACACAUACAUGCCUGGUGCUUUAAAAGGGGCCAGUUUACCAAAGUUGAAAAUAAUUAGGAACAAAAUUGGGAAGGAAAAAUAAACAGAAAAAUAUGAAAGGUAACUGGAGUGUUUGGAAACAUUUCAUUAGAUGCCUAAAACCUCUCCGUUCCACAAUCACCAAAGGCAGCUACUUUGAUUUAGAAAAAAAAAAAAAAAAAUUGUAGUCAAGAGGGAAGCAAACAGUAGCAAUAAAUUAUAUAUAUAUAACACAUUGAAAAAAGGAAGGUUGACAGCAAUGAACAUAAAUUAGAUGUUAAGAAACUAGAUAGGACAUGAUUAGGAAAAGAGGUAUGAAGAAUAUACAGCUAGGAAGAUAAGGACAGUAUGAUUUUUUUUAAAAACAUAUUAGGAUUCCUUUUUUCCUGAUAAGGAUAUAGAUACAUUACUAAACAGAAAUAGUAACUGUGCAGAAAAAACAAAUGUUAAAUAAGAAGUUUUGUAUUUUGAAAGAUGCUGGAUAAUGUAUUUAUUUUAUAAUGAUUAAAUACUUUCUAGUUCAACAGUAACUAAGGACAACUUUAAAAAGAAUUUACUAAAGUUAAACAUUUUAGAAUCUGCAGCUCCAGAUAACUUGCAUCCAUGAGCUGUGCUCUGUAGACCAUUGAUGUUGUUUUUAAUAAAUCUUAGAAUACUGAUGAAGUUCCAGAAGACUAAAAAAAAAUCUACUGUCGUGCUACUAUUUAAAAGAGGUAACCGUAUGACCCAAGUAAUUACAGACUGGCUAGCCUGACAGCAAGCCCAGGCAAAAUAAUGGAAUACCUGAUAUGGGAUUCAAUCAAUAAAGAAUUAAAUGAUGAUAAUAUAAUUGAAUGUCUAUCAGCAUAGCUUAAUGGGAGAUCUAGUCAAACAAGCUUUUUUUUUUUUAAUAGAUUUCAAAUGUGGCUGAUAAAGAUAACCUCUUUUACUAACUGGUGUUAAGAAUUUUCUGCCCAGUGCAUAUUAUUGAGCAAGAUCUCAGGUGCUUAUCCUAAGUAGAAGGUAAGUACGAGCCCCCUCCCAAUUUUACAGAAAGAAUAACAGGUUGCACUGGGUUGCUUCUGGCAGAGCUGGAAGUAAAACCCAAGGUUUCUACUAUGGCAUAUCCCCCAUCUCAGUGAUACAGCCUCUCAGAAAAAGUCUGGCAAAUCAGGGUGCUCAGAUGUGAGAGUAGUAGCAUUUUACACUGACUUUGUACAGCGAUAAAAUAACUCCAAGGUGCAGACAGUGGAGAAUCAAAUCUGUAGUGUCUAUAUGUCUCCUCUAUUCUCAUCCUGUUCAGAGGAAAAGUCACAAAUGGCAGUGAUUUACCCUUUCAAAUAUUUUAGAAAGUAAUUGUGAUUGACUGGCAUGUCAGCACCUCACAAACCUGGAGAGACUUACAAUGGCCUUUUCUUACUCCUUCCAAUUUAAAGUCUUAAUUGUCUUGUUCAAGAUUUUAGAAGCUCUUCGAAUACAUAAACACAUUUAGUUUUCUUCAAGCUGGGGAUAUUUUCCCUUCCUAAAUGGCUAGUUACUUAAGAUAAAUGUCUUCCAAAGAGCGCGCUCUCCCUCACCUAACCCAUCUGCCCUCCACUUAUUACACAUUCAAACUAUAUGUCAUCAUUUUCUGUUUCCUGCAUGAUCAUUGGUUUCUGUUGUAAUGUUACAACGGCGGUUGUGAAAUUGUUUUAAAAGUGGAAUUUUCAGAGUGGCUGACAGUGAUAUCAUGCUUGUGUUAGCAAUAACCCUACAAUUCACAGGUAAUGUCUCCACCAGCACUCCCUUUUUAUUGCAGUGCUUAGACAGAAGAGCAACAAUCAGUCUUAUUUAUACAGAUCAAAAAAUAUAUAUGUGGUACUUUAGAAGCAAAUAAGAGACACGGGGUCAGCUCAUCAGUUGGUGUCUUUACUGAAGUCAAUGGAGCUGUACUGAUUUACAUCAACGAAGAGUCUCGCCCAUGAUCCUAGUUUUUAAAAAGUUACAGUCUGUCAGGUCUUAGGCAGUCCUCAUGGUCAGAGCAGGAGUCAGGCCUACUAGACAGAGUCCAAAUGCGAGAGCCCAAGGUCAAGGCACAGUCAGAGCUGGGGAUUGGAGCUGAAGGUCAGAACUAAAGUUAGAGUCUGAAUGCCAGAACCAAAGAUCAAGACAGAGAGUCAGAACCAAGGCCAAGGAUCAGAAUCAUUGUCAGAGUCCGAAUGCCUGAGCCCAGGGUCAAGACAGAGCCAGACCUAGGAAUUAGUGCUGAUGGUCAAAGAACUGAUUAUCUGGAGUCAGGGAACGCAGGAGCAGUUGCAAGGCAGAAGCAAGACUGGGUGCAGGGCUUGGAGUGAGACAAGCACAGGGAGGCAGAGAAUCCACAGUUAUGUUCAUUGAGCAGCCACUGAUCUACUGAAGCUGCUUGGCUUAAGAGCAAGCCAUCUGAAUACCUUAGCCCAGUGGUCCCCAAAUUGUGGGGCAUGCCCCCUGGGGGGGCACAGAGGAACAUUAUGGGGGGCAUGGCCACCUAGCCCCACCCUGCCUCCAGCUGUGCCGCAGCCGCCAGCCCAGCCACAGCUCAACACGCAGCCACGGCCCCAGCCCCACCCCAAGCCUUGGCCCCCAGUCGUGGCCCCAUCCUUGGUCUCCAGCCCCAAACACAGCUCCAGGCCUGGCCCCAGACCCACCCCAAACCGUGGCCCUGGCCUCAGCCUCUGGUCCCCAGCCUGGAUGCAACUCGGGCCCUGACUGCGGCCCUGCUCCCAGCCACAGCUCCUGACCAUGGCUCCCAGAAGGGAAGAAGUGCAGAUGGGGGGGGUCGGCUAGAUGUAAAAAGUUUGGGAACCACUGCCUUAGCCAAUCAGGUGGUUUUGCUGUGGCCAAGGUGCACUCAUUGAUUGACUGACUGGUCAGGCGCCACUACAGGCCCUUAUUGCUGACACAGUCCAAGAUCUUACAGUGUUCUGGGCACGCUGCAUGCCAACUAAGUGAAGGCACUGAGCCCUCUGAAGGUCAGCACUUCAUCUUUUUAUGCCUUUACUUAGGACCCCGUACUGCAAGGGGCUGAAUUCUGAUAUUACUGUGCUGUAAUAAUUAAAAACACGCUAUACUCAAAAGACCAACACAUUAGGCUAAAGUCUCUCUAUAAUAAAGUAACCGGUUUAGGGUUACCAGGCACCUGGUUUUUUACCAGAAUACAUGGUCAAAAAGGGCCCCUGGCGGCUCCACUCAGCACAGCUGACCGGGCCGCUAAAAGUCCAGUUAGCCGCAGUUGCCAGCUCCCGGAAGCAGCUGGCAUGUCCUUCUGGCUCCUAGGCGGAGGGGAAGCCAGGAGGGCUCCGCGCACUUCCCCUACCCGCAGUGCAGGCACCACCCCGAGUGUCCACUCCAAAUCUCCCAUUGGCUGGGGACCACAGCCAAUGGGACCUGCAGGGGCAGCGCCUGCGAGCAGUGCACAGAGCCCCCAUGGUCGCACCUGCACCUAGGAGCCAGAAGGACAUGUUGCCGCUUCCCAGGAGCUGCCUGAAAUCAGUGCUGCCUGGAGCGCACACCCCGAACCUCCUCCAGUGCCCCAACCCCCUGCCCCAGCUCAGAACCCCCUCCUGCACCCAAACUCCCUCCAGGAGUCUGCACCCCUGCCCAGAGCCCCCUCCUGGACCCCAAACCUCUCAUCACCAGCCCCACCCUUGAGCCCACACCCCCUCUCAACGCCCUGCCCCAGCCUGGAGCCCGUCCCACACUCCAAACCCCUCAUGCCUGGCCCCACCCCAGAGCCUUCACCCCCCAGCCGGAGUCCUCAUCCCCUCCUGCACCCCCAACCCCCUGCCCCAGCCCGCUGACAAUGAGCAAGUGAGCGAGGGUUGGGGAAGAGUGAGCAACAGAGGGAGGGGGAUGGAGUGAGCAGGGGGCAGGGUUAGGGUGUUCGGUUUUCUGCAAUCAGAAAGUUGGCAACCCUAAAUCUAUUUCUUUCUACCAGAUGGAAGACAAAUGUCAAAGUUCAUAAUAUAAGGACUGUAUGAUCUUCUAGGCAACUAUGUCUCAGUAUGAUGUGCCCUUUAUUUUUGUCCUUCCAUGGAGUCUUUAAAACCUAUCACUCUUUUCAAUAAAACAGUAUUUUUAAAACAUUUGUGAAACCUUCAACAUGUGUGCAGAACCAUCCAACGGAACCGUGACAUCUUAUUGUUGUAACCUUGACUAACAGCAAAUUUUCUAUAGAGCCUUUCACUGUAGUAUCUACGAUCUUCCCAGGUAAAUUGGAUUGACAUUGUGGGGGCUUCACAGUGUCGUCUUCUCCCUUCCGUAGUUAUUAGAGGCUCUGCUUGGGGGUAUAAUUUGUUUGUCCCCGCUAUUCUGUUUAUGGUGGCAUUAAAUGGAAGGUCUUCCAUUGUGUCUUGAGGAUGAUCAGACUUUGAAUGAGCCUCAUCUCCUUCACUAGCUCAUUUCACACCUGAACUCUUUGAACCAGGUACAUCUUAUUUCAAAUUCUGAGGCGUUGUAUCCUGGGCUUUAUCAGCUGUCUUUGUGGGUCACAGUGUAAAUGGAAUCGCUGAGGUAGUUAGGUUCCAACCCACUGAUGGCGUUGAAAAUCGGGACCAAGUCUUCGAAUUGGUAGCAAUAACAGACUGGAAGCCAAGCAGAAGUAUCAGAGCAUGGUAGUAAUGUGCUUGCAGCAGCCUAUCCCACCGAGCAAGUCCAUUAUGCUAGGCACUGUACAAACCCAGACAAAGACACGUUCCAGGCCCUGAAAAGCAUAGCUGUGACGUUACAGAAUGAUGCAUUCUGGGGCUUCAAAUGAUAGCAGAGCCAGUAGGAAUUUGUUGGACUUCAAACAAAUUUUAAAAGGUUUUGGUUUGCUUUGGUUUUGUGCUGCAUACUCAUCUUAGCCUGGUUAGUGUGGGGAAAUUCAGCACAUGCUUGUGUAGCAUGUGGGGUUUCCCUUUUUUCCUGCAGAUCACUUUUAAGGUGUCUGAUUUGGUGUUUUAGUCUGUGUCACUUGAAAUGUGAACUGAUUAUUGCAUGGUCGUGCAGCCCCGAGAACCUGCAAGUAUCUGAAUAAAUACAAGCUUUAGCCUUAAAAUCAAAACUCACCGUUCAGUCUUGAAGGCUUGUCAAUUUUAAAAACUACACUAACCCUUGUAAAGGAUAUUUUUGAAAUGUGAUUUGAUAUGAAAUCAUUAAAGCAGUAGGAACAGUACGGGCCAGGCAGCUAUUCCAGUGUCAUGCAAUAAUGCAUGUCAAUAUUAUGUAAAGUUAAAUGUACUCAACUUUAAAAUAGCGCCUGUUAUUGAAAAUAAUUAGUGGGGGCAGAUUGCAGCAGAGCAAAAGUGUGUUGUGGGAAGGGAUGGAACUAGGAAUCUGAGUAGGAGUGUUUGCCCUUUACUCCAUUCAGGCUUUAGUACUGAAUUGCAGUCCUCUCAUUUUUCUGGCUGCCUAAAUCUUAUUUUCUGUUCCCUUUGGUUCCCAUUGUUCAUUUGGCCUCGUAUAGUUCCAUUGUCAGCUGACUUCUUUUGUUUUCUUAGGUUCAGCUCAGUUGAUUGAGGCCUCCACUCCUGCUGGCUGCUGUCUUCCUAAUCGGUUUUGAAUCUUUCCAAAUAUAUGUAGCCAUCUUCCUGAAGGAUCGUGCUGAAAACAGUAAUAUCAUCUGUGAUGCUCACAUUUCCAGAAUGUAAUAAGAGCAGAAUUAUUCAUCCCACUAUUCAUUAAACCACAACAAAAAAAAAUGUACAAUUUGCAUAAAAUAUUAGCCAGUAAUGCCUUGGUUUUUCCUCUCCCCUAUCUGGGUGUAUAAAAUAUUGAUGAAGGGGAAAUGCAAGUAGCCAUGGUAAUCCAGAUUUUCAAACAAACUGUAUGUGAUGUGCUAGACAAUGUUAUUUUAAAGAGACGAUGCCCAGCCCUUCUCUUCUACAUGCUUUACAGGUCACACGGGAUGAAUAAUUUAUCAAAAAAUAAGUACAUUAAUGUCAGUGGGAUUGAGCAGGUUGU
Chelonia mydas (Green sea turtle) is the source of this 7133-nucleotide long non-coding RNA. RefSeq lists it as uncharacterized. NCBI's taxonomy places the organism in Eukaryota, Metazoa, Chordata, Testudines, Cheloniidae. The record is from RefSeq and is a predicted model, not a curated record. The transcript is spliced from 3 exons.